CCUACGGGUGGCUGCAGUGGGGAAUAUUGGACAAUGGGCGAAAGCCUGAUCCAGCCAUGCCGCGUGUGUGAAGAAGGCCUUCGGGUUGUAAAGCACUUUCAGUGGGGAAGAAAGCCUUGGGGCUAAUACCCUCGAGGAAGGACAUCACCCACAGAAGAAGCACCGGCUAACUCCGUGCCAGCAGCCGCGGUAAUACGGAGGGUGCGAGCGUUAAUCGGAAUUACUGGGCGUAAAGCGCGCGUAGGCGGUCUGAUAAGCCGGUUGUGAAAGCCCCGGGCUCAACCUGGGAACGGCAUCCGGAACUGUUAGGCUAGAGUGCAGGAGAGGAAGGUAGAAUUCCCGGUGUAGCGGUGAAAUGCGUAGAGAUCGGGAGGAAUACCAGUGGCGAAGGCGGCCUUCUGGACUGACACUGACGCUGAGGUGCGAAAGCGUGGGUAGCAAACAGGAUUAGAUACCCCUGUAGUC
Molecule: ribosomal RNA, 465 nt
Filed under: Vreelandella stevensii
Lineage: Bacteria; Pseudomonadati; Pseudomonadota; Gammaproteobacteria; Oceanospirillales; Halomonadaceae
Description: partial 16S ribosomal RNA
Rfam family: Bacterial small subunit ribosomal RNA
Source: RNAcentral